This 352-nucleotide unclassified non-coding RNA is filed under the name soil metagenome. RNAcentral's name for it is "partial contains 5.8S ribosomal RNA, internal transcribed spacer 2, and large subunit ribosomal RNA". The stretch from base 1 to 120 matches the Rfam family "5.8S ribosomal RNA", at positions 35 to 154 of the family's 154-position model. The record is from RNAcentral.
GAUGAAGAACGUAGCGAAAUGCGAAAAGUAAUGUGAAUUGCAGAAUUCAGUGAAUCAUCGAAUCUUUGAACGCACAUUGCGCCCGCUGGUACUCCGGCGGGCACGCCUGUCCGAGCGUCAUUUCAACCCUCAAGCCCUCCUUCGGGAUGGGCCUGGUGUUGGGGCUCGGCCGCCAUCUCCGGCGGCCGUCCCCUAAAGACAGUGGCGGUCACGUCGCGACUCCUUUGCGUAGUAGAAACACCUCGCUCCGGAUAGCAACGCGGUCCACGCCGUAAAACCCCCAAUUUUCAAUGGUUGACCUCGGAUCAGGUGGGAAUACCCGCUGAACUUAAGCAUAUCAAUAAGCGGAGGA